Long non-coding RNA from Lagopus muta (rock ptarmigan), 1619 nucleotides. RefSeq lists it as uncharacterized. The transcript has 6 exons. Lineage: Eukaryota; Metazoa; Chordata; Aves; Galliformes; Phasianidae. The record is from RefSeq and is a predicted model, not a curated record.
CCUUUCUCUACCUUCUGUACAUACUGACACAGAACACUGCAUGGAGGAACAAUACAUUGCUGGAUGUUGCUGGAGGUUGACAGCAAAACCAGGUUCAAACUUUGGAAAAAUAAAUUCUGAGGAAACAUAAUCAAACACCAGAAUGAACAGAAUUCUCGUUUGCUUUCAUCUUAAUAAAGACAUCGAUAUCUUACAGCAAGUGAACCGAUGGAACUUCGCUUCUUGUUAUGACAAAAAGAUUGGUGGCACGGUACCAGGAUUUGUUCUCAGUAUCCUUGUUCAUUCAGAUUUUCUGCAUGUCCUUUGUAAUGUGAAUGGUCAAAAAUGUCCAGUUCCAUUGGAAGCCAUCAACCAGUUAAUGCAUUAGCUUUCAUUGUGUGAUGUUUCACAUAAGAGAAUGAUGCAGACUUUGAGAAGAACGUGUGCUGAUUCAUGUCCAGCUCAGUUUUCUCUGACAAAAGCUGAAGGUUGCAGUUAAAUUAGUGAAUAUGAAGAGCCAGGGAACACAGUGAGUCAUCUGUACUAGUUAAUUAAACAUUGCCAGUGGUUUUCUAUUACUCAUAUCUCAUUCUUGCAUUGUUAGAAGGAUCUUUGGGAUGAUUUUUACUCCAGGUAACCAAGGGCUCUUCUAUUUGGUUUCUGAGCAAGUUUGCAUGACUUUUUGUAGUAGAUAAAUUAUAUUAUACUUUUAGAGUAUUGAUGAAGCUGUUGGCAGUAGGGUCAAAGAAUAGAUCGAGUAACUGCUGAAUUUAAUAAUUUCAAGACAAACAAUGUAAGGAAGACUUGUGAAAACAUAAGUGGAAAAACUAUUGGGAAGAGUGGCAGGCUACAUGGAUAAAUAUCCUCUUCAAUUAUAAGAAAACCAAAAAUCUGUCUAAGGAAGAGGAAAAAGGAAAAAGAAAAGUCACUGCACUCAUGCUCCAGCCCUGUUACAUAGUAAAGGUGUAGCAAAGGUUAAAGGUGAAAUUGUCAUGAACCCAAAUGGAAGUCUAAGCUUAGCCCCUUUUUCUGAUGUGAUUAAUGAAGGUAAUUAGCUUACAAUCUCAAAAGAUAAUGGAAAAGACAGUAUAAAAAUUGAAUUAGAAAAUCAAGGACUGAAGUAAAAAUCAAUUUGGAGAUUUCUAUCCUGGAAGUCUAAAAAGCUGCAUAUAAAAUUUGGAUUGAGUAGUAAGAACUAUUAAUACCUUUAUCAGGUACAGCUAAGGUAUCUUUACUUCUUGUAUAAAGAUGCAGAUUUCCAGAAUCUACACUUUAGAAAUGGGGAAAAAAUGAUAAUUCUGUACUUACUCUUUUCUCCGACUUUGACAGUAUGCAGGUUUCCGUAAUAUUUUUUAGCAGAGAGAACUAAAACUCAUGAAGGCAUAUGAAAAGGGAGCUGAAUAGCAUGAUUAUGACCUAUGCAACACUGUCCAGAUUCUGGAGCCCAGAAAAGCCAGGUGGAGGCAUAUCUUAUUGGGAUGAGAUUUGAACCAACAGAGGAAGAAUAGCUCUGUUCUUUCAUUCUCUUUUAAGGUAAAUUGAUCCAUUUGUCAUGUCUUCAAAGUCUUCUGACACUCGUGAACUGAAACCACAUCAGCAGAUCUAUGGUCUGGGCCCCUGAUUCAAGAAGAAUGCUAUCU